GGCAAGGUCUGAGGCGGAGCGGGACGGCGAGGCCGGGCGUCCUGCCGUGUGGGUGGGCCCUGGGGAGGCCCCGAGAGCCCGGCCGGGUCUGUGGCAGGAGGGGAGCUGAGCCGGGCCGAGCCUGCUGGGGCUGAGGGGAGGGCGGUGUGGUGAUGCCUCUGUUGGAGCCGGUCUCCCUGAAGCCCCCCGGCAGCCCUUACCCCGGGGGCGCGUUUCAGGAGGGGUGAGGCUGCUGGGGGGGGGUCUGCAAACGGGGACGAGUGGCUGCCGCCUUCCCUGCGGCGGGGAAAGCAAGCUCGGCUCUGAACACCUCUGGGUCUUGGGGUGGGACCUUUCCCAGGAACCUUCCCACCCCCCCCCGCCAGGGUGGGGGAGCAGGAGCAGCUGGAGCUGCUGGUAGCCCGAGUGUGGCCACAGCGCCUUGGAGUGGAGCUGCCAGGGGUGGACAGUGGCAAGGCUGUGGAUGGGGACAAGGCCGAGUACGCAGACAGGGCGCCAGAUGGGAGCAUCACUUGGGGAGGGCGUCCCGAGCGGGUGAGCUCCACCUGCUCUGCCACCGCACUGGGCCAGGGCUCUGGGAAGGAGGAGCAGGAGCCCCGGGAAGAAGAGCUGCUCGCUGACACCGUGAUAGGGUUCUCCAGGGAACAGAGGCUGCACUGGCUGUUGCUGUCAUCCAGGGGGGUCGGGAGUCCUGGGGUUGCAGGGACCAGAGGCCUCGAGAGCGCAGGUGAACUCCCAGAAGCGCUGCUCCAUGGUGAAGUAGGGUUUGAUAUAUUAAAGCUGUAAACUAAUUGAAGUAGGUGCUUAAUAUAUUAGAACUGUAAAUUAGAGUAGGAGCUUAAUUUAGGAGACCGGGUGCCUUAAGGCUGUACAAAGAGCAGAUGCAACAGUUGUAGCACUAAAUGUCAGAACUUAUCUCCUAUUUUUUAAGAAAGAAUGCUUUAGGACAAUAUAACCUUGUAGUAGAAGCUUAUCUCUCAAAACAAGGGGCCCGGGGUUACUGAGGAAUGCAGAGACAUGUCAAAGCUAACACUUUUGAUGCGCCAGCAAGAAUAAAGAAGUAGAGCAGAGGCCUGCAGUUCACCCAGAAGUCACAACGAUGAAGAGGAGUGGAGGAAGUAAAUGACCACCAGAUGCCUCUGAAGACCACCGAGAGACUCUAAUGCGCAUGCAGGAGUGGGCAGUAACCUGUAAUAAUGAGUUAAUGAAUAGGCCGCGCUCAAAAUUAGGAAGUAUCUGGAGCUUACAUGGAAGCUUCCACAACAGAAAAGAAGUGCUUGUACUGAUUGUCUCUGGGAAUGGCUUUUACUGCCCCAGUAACCUUGGUGCUUAUACUCUCCCAAAGGCGAGGCUCCAUUGCAGCAAACUUCCGGAGAAGGACCAAGCAAAAGGAAGGAGGGUAAGAAAAGUCUCUGUUUAGAAUGGGAAAUAGAGAAUUCUAGGCCUAGGGAUGAAAAAGGGGAUAAAAAGAAAGACCCUGGGAACAUUCCCCCAGACAGUCCUUUAGGGGAGAAUGUUGAGUUUUCGGGUUGAUUCUUCUUGUACAAAGGAUAAAGAUAAAAAGAAAAUUAUUUGUUUUGUUUGGACUGCAUCCCGGAGGGGCUGGGGACGGCCGGGGCGGGGAAGGACGUGGACGUCCUGGGUGGGGUCCCAGGGGGGAUCUUGGGGACAUCCCUGGGGGUCCUGUGUCCAUCAUGGGAGAUCUUCGGGGUGUCCUGGGGCAGAACAUGUUUGCAUUUGCAUUUGAAUUUGUUUGGACCAAAGAACCCAUAAGACCUCCUAGUGUAUUUUGGCCUAAAUUUGGAUCUGAUGAAGACUGGGUCUGUCAGACUUUAAAUGUGCAUGUGAAUAAUAAGGAAUAAUAAGGAAUAAUAAGGAAUUAGAAGAAGGUGAAUAUGCUUUUUGCUGGGUCAAGAUGAAUAGAUUCGGGGACACCCAAGUCCAUUCUAUAUGUUCCCAGCCCAGACCGUCAGUGACGUUUCAACCAAUAAAGAAGCUGAAUCCCCUAAGGGGACCCCUUAGACUCUUAGUUGGGGGCAAGGAAGAGGGGUGAGUAACAGGGGAAGAGGACUGCCCCGACCAUUCCUACCAGCAGCUCAAGGUUCACCAGUAGGAUAAUUAUCAUUGUGGGAUUUACAGAAUCCCCUGAGUUGUUUGGGCAAGUGUUAGAACAAGUGCUUGAACAAUUCAAACCUCCAUCGGGAGAAGCCCUGCUUCAGUUAUGUGGAUGACUUAUGGGUAUCUGGGGAGGGAGAAGGCAGGGUAAAAGAAGCCACGAAUGAGUUAUUGAACUUUUUGGGACAGCAAGGUUUGAGGGUCUCAAAAAAAAAAAAAAUUAAAAAAAAAAAAUUGCAAUAUGUGGAAACAGAAGUGAAGUACUUGGGACGUCUAGUCAGUGAAGGGAGUCGAAAAACAAAUCCUGUAAGUCCUGAGAGCAUCAAAGGAAUAGUAGGCUUAGCUCUGCCAAAGACCAAGAGGGAAAUGAGAAAGUUUUUGGGGCUGACUGGGUACUGUAGACUGUGGAUAGGGGUGUGUGCUCAAAAGACUAAAGGACUAUAUGCCAUACUGUUAGCUGAAGAACCGAAUGUAUUGAUUUGGACAGAAGAAGAGGAGGAUUUAGUGGAAGAUUUAAACCAGAGCCUAAUUAGAGCUCCAGUUUUAGCCUUAUCUUCUUUAGAGAAAACUUUUCAACUAUUUGUAACUGUAGACAAAGGGGCUGCGUUAGGAGCUCAAGAAAGCGGCAGCCAGUGGCCUAUUUAUCCAAACUCUUAAAUCCUGUCUCCCGAGGGAGGGGAAUGAUAGAAGUUAGCACCCCUUACCAAGUCAAAACCAUUUUAGCCCAAACCACGGGAAAACGGCUAACCAAUUCAAGAAUACUGAAGUAUGAAGGAAUUUUAAUUGAAAAGGAUGAUUUGAUUUUAACUACCAGCUCUUGCCUUAACCCAGCGAGCUUUUUGUGGAAAGGAGAAGUAGAGGCAAAGGAUGAAGAACUUACACGCGAAUGCAUAGAUGUAAUUGAGUACCAGACUAAGAUACGACCUGACUUAAGGGAAGAACCCCUGUCUGGGGGUCUUCAUUUGUUCGUAGACGGUUCUUCAAGAGUGACAGAAGGAAAGAGGUGUAAUGGAUAUGCGGUGGUGGAUGGAGCGAGCCAACAAGUAAAAGCCUCUGAGAAAUUAACUAGUGCAUGGUCCGCUCGAAUGUGCGAGAUGUAUGCCUUAAACCAGGCACUAAAAUUAAUUGGAGAAGGGGAACGAACAAAAUAUACAGACUCUCGUUAGGCCUUUGGGGUAGGGCAUACAUUUGGUAAAAUUUGGGAAGAACGAGAACUAAUAAAUAGCAAAGGGAAAGAACUUGUAUAUGAGGAACUUAUAGAACAGGUGUUAGCAAAUAUACUAAUGCUAAGUGAAACAGCAGUUGUACACGUUAAAGGUCACCAGAGAGGCAAUUCAAUUACCACAAGGGGAAAUAGAUUAGCGGACAAAGUGGCAAAAGUGGUGGCCUUGGAGCAGGAGACAAUUAAGAUUUAUAGUCUUGUUCCUCAAGUACUGACACUAACGACCCCGUUGAUAUUCAUGGAAAAAGAAAAAGGACAAUGACAGAAGCAGGGGCAGUGGAGAAAGAAGGUAAAUGGAUUCUGUCUGGUGGAAGGGAAAUGGUUAACAAACAAACUAUGAGAGAAAUAAUGGCAGUGUUACAUCAGGGACGCCGUUGCGGAACCCGAGCAACGUGCGAUAUGGUUUUGCAGAAGUAUGAAUGUUUUGGCAUUUGCACCGUAGCAAAGCAAAUUUGUGGAAGGUGUAUUAUUUGUAAGAAAAUAAAUAAGAAGACUCUUAGAAAACAACCUCCAGGCGGACGGGAACCAGGGUUAAGGCCAUUUCAAAGUAUACAAGUCGGUUGUAGUGAACUACGACCAAUUCGCAGGUAUAAGUACCUCUUAGUCCUGGUAGAUCACCUUACUGGAUGGGUGGAAGCUUAUCCCUUAGUCUCAGCGACAGCUGCAGGGGUGAUAAGCGUAAUGCUAAAGCAAAUAAUUCCUAGGUAUGGAAUAGUGGAAAAUGUGGAUUAAGCCAUUUUAUCUCAAAGGUGCUACAGGGAGUGAUGGAAGGUUUAGGGAUAACAUGGGAUUAUCACACUCCCUGGCACCCCCAUCAUCUGGAAAGGUUGAAAGAAUGAAUCAAGCCAUUAAGAAGCAACUAUCUAAAUUAGUUCUUGAGACAAAAUUACCAUGGAUUAAGUGUUUACCAAUAGCAGUAUUGAGAAUCCAGACUUCCCCUGGAAAGGGUACUGGUCUCUCGCCUUAAGAAAUGCUUUUUGGACUACCCUACACUGGGUACACACCCCACAUUUCAAACCAAGGACAUCUUCCUUAAGAAAUAUAUACUGGGGCUGUCGUCUUAUCUCUCUUUCCUCAGAACUAAAGGCCUUCUUGCUCAAACUCUGCCGUUGGAAUUUGUCGUCCAUCUGUAUAAACCGGGGGACUGAGUACUAGUCAAAUCCUGGAAGGAGAGUAAGCUCCAACCGGAGUGGGAAGGACCAUUCCAAGUACUCCUCACUACAGAAACGUCAGUAAGGACAGCGGAAAGAGGUUGGACUCACUACGCCCGGCUAAAAGGACCAGUUGAACCCCCACUGACAGAUCCAGUAGAGCAGUGGAUCAUACAUUCCGCUUACAGCCUGCUGCGAGUAACCCUAAAAAGACAAUAAGCCGUGGGUUGGGGUGGGAUCCAGUCGGGAGGUAUAAAUAUGUGUACGCUGUGAAUUUUAAGAAGCAUUUUGUGAUGAUCCUGGUCGUAGGGGUGGUGGUGCGUUUCCCACUAGGAAGCUGGAGUGCACACCCAGAUUACCCAGUUAGGCUUGUCAUAAAUAUCACUACAGGAGAUACCCCACAGACCGUACGCUUUGAUGCCUGUCAAGUACUGAAGUGUGGGGAUCUAGAGGCCCAAAGACAGUGGAGUGGUGAAAACAAGUACCUGUGUCCAGAAAUCUGGAGGGUCGCAGGGAGAUACCCCGAGGCUGCACCUGGUGAACGAUGGAGUGAAGUGUUGUGGACCAUUCAAAUUGGAGGGUGGACCGUUGAUGACCUAGGCGGAUGAGGUCUAACCUAAUAUAUGGAAUAGGAGCAGAUGUGCCUGGAAGAGAUCCAAGGGGAAGAUUUAGAAUAGACAUAGUGGAAAAUAGCAGUCAAGCGGAAGGGACAACUAUUACUAGUAAACUUCCAGUAAUACAACAGUGGGGGACCAUCGAAUGAUCCAGCUUUGGUAACGGUUACCAAGAUUAAAGAUCUUAGACAAAUACCUGAAAUUGAAACAGCGUCCGGUGAGAUGAAUGCUUGGGUAGAAUGGGUAAAAUAUACCAUUAAUAGUUUGAACCAAAGCAAUUGCUAUGCUCGUGCCUCAGGAAGGCCCACAGCACAGAUAUCCCUUUCCCAUAGGGUGGAUGAAAGAUUCCGUAGGGAUGUGGUGUAUGAUAGCAUUAUACCAAGAAAAGACCACCUGGGGAAAUGAGACUUGCCAUUCACUUCCUUUACUGUUUCCUGCCUUGGAGUCUAGAGAUGUUAAAGUACCACCAGUAUUUUCCACAGCAAUUGGUAACCACCUAGCGUGCCUCUCAUGGCAGGGUGUGAAUGCCACCAAACCUGUGGGGGUUUCACCCUAUGCACUGAAACUCUGAAUGUGACCGAGGAUGUAGGAGGAAACUACUCAGCGUUACGAGUGCCUCGGGCGGAUCUCUGGUGGUAUUGUGGAGGGAAGACCUCGCGAUCUGUGUUGUCACCUAACUGGAAAGGUACAUGUGAGACGGUACAAUUGGCAAUAGCAUUCACCCUAGCAUUUGAAAAAGGAACAGGAUCCCUGAGCUCAGGUAAUAGUGUAAGAAGAAGUUUAGGUGUAUCCUUUGAUGAACAGAUAUAUAGAUCCCAGCGGCAUCCCUAGAGGAGUCCCGGAUGAACAAAAAGCAACGAAUCAGAUAGGAGCAGGAUUCGAAUCUCUCUUUUUUCUGGUGAGUAACUAUAAACAAAAAUGUAGAUUGGAUAUAUUAUAUUUACUGUAACCAACUGAGGUUUAUUAAUUAUACCAGAGAUACGCUGAAAUGAGUAACAGAACAAUUGGAUGCAGCCAGCCGAGUGGCCUGGGAAAAUAGGAUCGCCCUAGACAUGAUCUUUGCGGAGAAGGGAGAGGUGUGUGUAAUGGUAGGGAAUCGGUGUUGUACCUUUAUCCCAAACAAUACGGCUCCAGAUGGUACUAUAACUAAAGCCCUUCAAGGGCUCCCCGCUCCAGCUUGACAGGAGUUAGCUGAAAAAGUCUGGAAUAGACACCUCACUGACAGGUUGGCUGGAUUCCUGGUUUGGAAAAUGGAAAGGUAUGGUGGUAUCAACACUGACUUCUCUUAGAAUAGUAGCAGGAGUCUUAGUGGCUGUAGGAUGCUUUAUCAUUUCCUGUGUGCGAGGAUUAGUUCAACGAUUAAUUGAAACUGCCCUAACGAAACAAGUGGAAGUAGACCCUCCCCCAUACCCUGGGAAAAUGGUUCAACUCCAGGAAAAGAACAAGAAAGAGGAAGACGAAUGUGAAUUGAUGCUUGCAAACCUAGAAGUUUCUUAUGGGAGCAUACCCGGAUAAGUAAGUGCAAAAAGCAAUAAAUUUAGAAAAUGAAAGGGGAGGGAUUGUAAAAAAAUCUAAGUAUUGUUUUUGCAGAGGAACAACUUGGCCAGUCUGCAACGAUGUAGCUAGAGAAUGAUUAACAACACAAAGGCUGAGCAAGAGACAAGCAAGAAUGCUCAUCCCUUAGACAAAGGAGAAACCAGUCUAUGCUGAAUUAGUAGUUUAAUGGGAAGAUGAACAUUUAACUGAGACCAGCUACCAUGGGCAAUAAUACAAAAAAAGGAGCAAAUAAACAGGUGAAGUACGGGGCUUAGCAGGGGUGAUGGGGAGAAGUAAACGGAGGCGGAGUGAACAGAAAUAGUUUUAGGCGAAUCGGGUAGGCUGUAAACCCUGGAGUUUGGGAGCCAAUGGGGAAACAGGGGAGAGAAAUUUCUGCCGGGAACAGGAAAUAAAAAGUUAUUUCGGGAACUCAGGUGUGCCUCCCAGCUAGGUCACCCGUUCUUGCAAGAACGUCUAGAUAAAACGUGCUUCAUAUCGAUCACUGCCCGAGUCAUGGUUAUUGGAUAAGGAGCGUUUCUAACAGUACUGCUUUCAUUGCCCGCAAACCUUGGUGCUAACACUGCCCGUUAGCGCGGGAUUCAAUAACACCAAAAGUCUGGAGCUUACUGUAACAUGGAAUGUCCCGGGAGAGAGCAGUUGUGCUUGUUCUCGCUGUCUCUGGGAACGGCUUUUGUGGCCCCCCAGGCCUUGCUGUUUACGCUCUGCCAGGGGCGAGGCUCAAUUGCAGCAGCUUCUGGAGCUUGCUGCCUCGUGGAAGGUGGCAAGAGGGAAAAGCGGUGCUUGAUCUUACUGUCUCUGGGAUCCACUUUCAUUUCACCAAUAACCUUCGUUGUCACUCACUGCCUAAGGUCAUCCUAAAAAAUAGCAAAAGCCUGAAGCUUGCUCCCAAAUUGAAGGUGAAGAAAGGGACUAGUUGUUCUCGCGCUCUCUGGGAACAGCUUUCAUUGCUCUACUAACCUUGGUGCUAAAACUGUCCCAACAGCAAGGCUGAAUAACAGCAAACGUCUGGAGCUGGAUCAACAUGGAGUGUCUGGGAAGGAAAAGUGGUGCUUUUUCUCACUGUUUCUGGAAUCCGCUUUCAUGGCCCCUGCCAUUCUGUGAUUUUAUGCUGCCAGCUCAGUGUGUCUUGCUUAAGUACUUGUUUUGUGGGUGCUGUUACCCUGCACGGAUUUUUUCCAGCAUGGCUCCGACCCAGGGACGCAGGGAGUGGGGACUCUGCAGCAGCAUCCUCUGGCAGGGGGGCUGGCAUUUGUGGAGGGUAAGUAGAUAAAUCAGGGGAAUCUUCUCUAGUCUGUGCCAGACUGACUUCUGAAUGCCGUGUGGUUAAUAGGGAUUAAUGGGAAUUAAAUAAGAAUGGGAGAGACGCGCUGGGAGAACUAAACUGCCUUGAGAAUAGGCAUUAAGUGGGGGGGGGCAUGUUACCUGGGAAGUAUCUGGGGAGAUGGUUGCUGGCAUGGCUGGUGUCCUGGGUUGAGCAACAGAGGACUAAUUUCUCUUCCAGUGCUGGGGAAAAUGCCACUUUUGGAAGACUAUAGUGUCUGAAUUUGUGAAAAUAUUUAUUUUAUAGCCAGCUAGGCUACGUGGGAUUCAAGGUCUUGGUGUUUUCAAGCCUUGCCACGUGCAGGGAUGAGGAGGAGCGAGGCCUGGCUAACAAGAUUAUUUCAUACCAUGAACGUCAUAUUCUUUAGAAAUUAGAAAGUUUGCUGCAUAGUUUCUCUCUCCCUUGAUGGCAGCAGUCCAGAGAAACUCCUUGCCCCGGUUCCAGACCCACGAGGCCUUCCCUUCCUCCUGAAGCUGUUGCUCUCACAGUGUCCGACUUACUGUCCACUGCUGGGAGUCACAGCUUCCUACUGAUAUAAUUGGCUGAGUAUAAUUCUUGUAUAUCUUAUAUUAGUAUCCGGAUUAAUACUGGUUCUUUAGUAUUAUUGUUAAUUAUUUAGUCUUAUCCUAUUAAAUCUAUUUAUAUUUCAA
This is a long non-coding RNA of Chroicocephalus ridibundus (black-headed gull), 8630 nucleotides long. RefSeq lists it as uncharacterized. The record is from RefSeq and is a predicted model, not a curated record. The transcript has 2 exons. Lineage: Eukaryota; Metazoa; Chordata; Aves; Charadriiformes; Laridae.